RNAcentral lists this ribosomal RNA (509 nucleotides) under uncultured bacterium. Its description in RNAcentral is "bacterial SSU rRNA". It matches the Rfam family "Bacterial small subunit ribosomal RNA", at positions 30 to 518 of the family's 1533-position model. The record is from RNAcentral.
CGAACGCUGGCGGCGUGCUUAACACAUGCAAGUCGAACGCGAAAGGGACUUCGGUCCUGAGUAAAGUGGCGCACGGGUGAGUAACGCGUAGAUAACCUGUCUUCAUGUCUGGAAUAAUACGCCGAAAGGGGUACUAAUACCGGAUAUUCUUGCUUUUCAUAAGUUAUGCAAGCAAAGGUGGCCUCUGCAUAUGCUACUGCAUGAAGAGGGGUCUGCGUACCAUUAGCUAGUAGGUGGGGUAAUGGCCUACCUAGGCGACGAUGGUUAGCGGGUCUGAGAGGAUGAUCCGCCACACUGGCACUGGAACACGGGCCAGACUCCUACGGGAGGCAGCAGUGAGGAAUAUUGCGCAAUGGGGGAAACCCUGACGUAGCGACGCCGCGUGAGUGAAGGAAGGCCUUCGGGUCGUAAAGCUCUGUCAAGAGGAAAGAAGUGUACAAUGGCUAAUACCUGUUGUAUUUGACGGUACCUCUAAAGGAAGCACCGGCUAACUCCGUGCCAGCCGCUGC